This 86-nucleotide transfer RNA is filed under the name Oligoflexales bacterium. RNAcentral's name for it is "tRNA-Leu". It matches the Rfam family "tRNA". Rfam says of the family: Transfer RNA (tRNA) molecules are approximately 80 nucleotides in length. Their secondary structure includes four short double-helical elements and three loops (D, anti-codon, and T loops). Lineage: Bacteria; Pseudomonadati; Bdellovibrionota; Oligoflexia; Oligoflexales. The record is from RNAcentral.
GCUCGAGUGGUGAAAUCGGUAGACACACGAGACUUAAAAUCUCGCGCCCGGUUACGGGUGUACCAGUUCAAGUCUGGUCUCGAGCA